Molecule: long non-coding RNA, 7599 nt
Organism: Dicentrarchus labrax (European seabass)
Lineage: Eukaryota; Metazoa; Chordata; Actinopteri; Moronidae
Exons: 2
Source: RefSeq, a predicted model, not a curated record
UUCUGCACCUGAACUGUUGUUGACUUCGAGCUGCCGUCACAUUACAGACUGUGGAUGCAUUUUGAAGACAAUAAUCCUCAUGUAGACGAUCGGAGUUUGAACUUAAUCGCUUGAAAAUGAUUUCUCAGCUCCGCGGCAGAAGAAGAAAGCUGUUUUCCGCCUUUUACCCUGGAGCACGUGUUCAUUUAAAGCCCCCACUGCUUGUAAACACGUUGCAGCCUGCUAACCUCGAACCACAUGAUCAGCCUGCUGUGCCUGGCUGGUUUCACUGUACGGUUGGUGGAAAUGCAGGCUUGGUUUCUGGUGGUUUAGGUUCAGUUUUCUGAGAAACUGACAGGAAAAAGACAAGAGAACACAGCUCAGCUGUUUCCUGUUUAUGUUGACGGGAAGAUAUAAUUUGCUAGCAAGAGGCAACAUAGAUAAGGAUGAUUUAGCGAAGUGAAUCGGGAAAGAUGAGCUCACAAAUUAGAGAUUAGACUCAGAAAAAAAUUGGGAGAUCGAGAAACAAAGAGGAGAAGUGGCUUAUUAGAGGUAUAAAAAUAUGGUGUGAAUAAGAAAAAGAGUUUGUGAAAGAAAGAAGAAAUGUUUAAAAAAAAUAGAAAGACUUUGAGAACUGAGAGGAAAUAUACUGAGAGUAGAAGAGAGAAAGCAGCUGACAGGAAGAUCUGCGCCUCUUCUUCUCCACUAUGAACACAGCUGUGUGAAAACACACACACACACACUUUGUCAAACGGCUUCAAAACACCCACAGUCAAGACGCAACAGUCAGCAGCAUCCACGUGUAAGCGCAAACACACAGGCGUAAAAUGUACAGAACACACUGUGCCAGGGUCGAAAAAGGGAACACAACUUAAUUACUCACAAAUCCACUUGAGCAGGCACAAAAGCAUGUACACACACACACACACACACACACACUCGGCCUUGUAGAUUCACCACAACAAGGAGAAAGAAAAAAAGCACAUUUGAGCUUAUGGUGAGACCUACAGUCAAAACAUACUCACACGCUGAUAACAAAUUAUUAUUUUAUUUUCAAAGUUUGAUUUUAUUGACUAGCAAUGAGCUACCUUGUUACCAGCAUUGGACUUAAAAUAGAAACAGUUUCCAGAAAUUAUGACAGUAAUAACUAAGCUAAUUUAUUCCAGUUUAACUGGUAAACACUGAGUAUGUUUGUGUCUCUGGGUGAUCCGGCUGACUCCUGUGGUGGUGAGAUAUGGAUGAUAAAGCAACGGCAAAACAUUUAACGUGCAAAAACAGCCGUGACCUACAUAAGAGCGGCAGCUUAAUGAGUAACUGUAACAGACUAAUUUCCCUACGGGACUAAUAUGUUACUCAUUACCCAUAAAACACCAUGAAAGGUACACAACCUGGAAUUGGAUAAAUAAAAAAGGUUAUGCAUGGUAAUCCUAAUCCUAUAUGCACAGGUGGAGCCCUGCGAUGGGCUCUAUUGACUUGAUGAGACAAAGCAUUACAUGUAUUUUUGUUAGCCAAUCGCGAUGUGAUUCCUUUUCCCUUUCCCCUUGUUGCCUAGGAUGAUUUAUCAAGUAUGAUCGUGUCCCUGCCGUUGGCUACAGAUACUGCCCCCUUUUUUAAACUUGCCUCUGCUUCACUAACCUACACACAUUCAACAGUUUUUCUCUGUCAGACGGUCUCUUUAGUUGAGCUUCGAAAAGAUGAAACAUGACCCUUGAACGGGACCCCCAGUCAGCAGUAGAUAGUAGUUUGUUUAAAAUCAAUUGGAUGCAUCUCAACAACACUUUUUGCUGGUUAUCAGUGUUUUCUUUGGGUCUAUCGUCUUGUCCCUACUCAUGUCAUCAAAUAAUCUUAUUAGGACUUAGGACCCAGCGUCCCUGGGAUGAUUCGCGAGGUAAACCAUUGAAAUACGAGGUUCAUGUUACAUGUUGGUUAGCUGGCUUGGUGGAAUUCUCUGGUGUGCUUGCUCUAUGGCCCGCAAGAUGCAGAAGCAUAGAAUAUGACAAAGAUCUGGGUCAUUUUACACCUGGAAGUCUAACUUUUUUGGCUUCAUGUGCCACUGAGCAGCUUUCAUAUAGGAAUGAACAGAGCCCUGCCUCCAACGGUGUAUCCAGUUCUCCUCAAUACAGUCAUGGCCUGAAUGCAACCUUAGCAACAGAAGCACUGUCAAAACCUCAUACAAUUGAUUAAAUUAAUAUACUAUUGUCCUCUAUUGUGCUUAAAUAUUACUUGCUGGUAGUAGAUACCCAUGCAGCUUAAAAUAUGAAUGGUUGAUACCCCAGCCAGAGGACCAGAGGUCAUGUAUGAGAAAUUACACUGAGUAAUGAAAGCCAGUGAAAUAGAGGCUAAACCAGAACUGAGGUGGGUCUCAUCCAUACAGCCUGUGUGUAUUAAAACUGUCUAUGUGGAGAAUAAAACAGUAAUCUAUGGGACAGCAUGGAGAAGAAUAGAGAGUGGGUUAAUAGAGGGAAGGUUUAAGUGUGCCAUGGGAUGCAGAUAGAGGGGAUGUUUUUCAUGUUGCUGUAUACAGUCCAUUAUCAUCUCCUACUGUUUUGGACCCUCAGCAGUGAUCGUAAACCGUUUUCGUUGUUGGCAGUACAGUUAUUGAGCUUACCAGAGGUAGAUGAAGACAGACUGAGCAGCUGGAGGACAAUGGCUGCAAAUCAGAGCCUAGAGGAGGGAAAAUGAAAGACAGAGUGGGAAAAAAAGAUGAUAAAGGGAGACUGUUGAGCAGCCACAGGGAUGGGAUUUUUCUCUUUAUUAAUUUUAACAGUGGGAGACAUUGGAGACGCCCGGUCUUUGCUGAUGUGCACUGAUGAGGUAGAUCUAUUAUCCCUUAUUGAUUUCACUUAUUGAAUUAAUAUCACAGAGGGGGGGAUGCAGAGAAAGAGAAGGGGAAAUAGGGGAAGGACUCAUAAGAUUUGAUAUAUGGAGCUGCUGCUCAAUAUUUGGAGGAUUUCUGUCAUAUUUUAUACAUUCAGUAUUACUUUCCCUGUUUCUUCCAACUUUCAACACAACCCAAAAAAGAAAGACAUCGACAAUACGUGAGGACACACACAUACUCCACCACCCCCAUCGCAGCUGUUGGGGUGUGGUGAGGGGGAGAUACGUGCCACAACCCCUCCGCUUGCAUUUGAAUGAGUUCUAGUAGGGUUUAGAGCAGGCUUGGCUGGAAUGGGUUGGAACCAUUCCACACAUUCCUGCGCCACCAUGCACUCUCUGUUGCCCUACUUGUGUCUGGGUUGGGAAAUGCACGUACAGUUCUCCCACGCACUCAAACUCCCACAAGUACACGGCGAAGGGGGGAAGCCAUCUUGCUUUUCCUUGUUUCCAGAUUGUAAAUAAAAGGCUUGAGAAGAGCACACGGGAAAGAUACAAGUAGCGUGCCCCCAGCUUUUGGCUCCUCGAUGACUCUCCACCACAGCUGGGGUUGUUUUUGAACCACCGAGUGCAUCAGCAACCGAAAACAACUGUGCCGCAUUUCUGUGAAAAGCCACUCCACUCCUUGUAAAGAGAGUGCUGACCUCUUCAAAAGGCACCAUUUUUUUUGUCCCUGUCUUCUUGUCUCGCUCUGUCCUUCCUUGCAUAGUUCUAUUUUUACAUGACUAUUGGUUCUGAAAUGUAGAGUAGACUCAAACAGCUGUGAUUCACAUCCUACAUCUUGCCAUAAGUUCACUUUGCCAAAACACAGAAAUCCAGGGUGCGCCAAAUAACACAGAAAAGGAGAUAACAGAUUUUGGUUUUCUUGGAAAUGUCAAAUACAGGCCACCGUGACCUUCUCAGAGGGCUGACAGAGGCAGGAAGCUGCUCGAUACAUGACAAAAUUAAGUUAUAAUCGUAGUUAAAUUGGAUUUAAAGAAAUGAAUGUAUUAAGAUCAAAUCCUCUGUUCCUUUUCUAUCUACUCCUUAUUUCUACCAUGAAAUACAUUCUUAGAAAAAGGACAAUCCUUAAAUUAGCUAGUACAAAUGUGCACCUAGGCAUAGUCCACAGUUUAAGGGAGAAUCUAAAAGCUACUCUUAGAGUUUGCGCUUUAUUCCUGCUUGUCUCCAUUCAGUUCUCUUCCUCCUGAUUCCUCUAUAAGGAUAAAAAAUGGAAAUGAUACACUAUGUAGAUCCACCAUGUAAACUGCAGUGGCAAUUCUGGAACAUGAAAGCAUUCUUUGACUGUGGCUGCAUACGCUUGGCCUACUUUUUGAUUCCAUUAAAUUAUUGGGUGGGUGGGAGGAAAGGCUGCGCUGUCUUUUAAGUAUUAGCAAGCUGGAUGUCAGAUGUAUAUGUGUGUGUGUGUGUGUGUGUGUGUGUGUGUGUGUGUGUGUGUGUGUGUGUGUGUGUGUGUGUGUGCAAUAGCAUAACAUGUAUUUAUUAUUGUAAUUACAUAUUAUUUGACUUGCUUAAUUUCCGAACAUCCAAAUAUGUCAAAGUGCAUUUACAUAUUCCCACUUCAUCUUUACAUUAUAUGUAUGCGUUAUGCAGUAUCCAAGUGAUCUAUAUGUGUUUUGCCAUGACCAUAAAAUCUGCGCAUUGAGUCUGUUUCACGCUGUGUGUCAGUCAAUAUAAUGUUCUAGUAACUGCUAGACUUUAUUAUUAAUAGCUAUUGGUGAAAGGCUGAUUACUGAGUGAGUGAAUGAUGGGGUGUUACUGUACUCUCAUGUUUCCGUUUGAACCGACUGAGACAGGAGUGAAAAAAUCCGAAAUCAAAAUGAGGAUUGACCUUACUGACAAAGAUAAGAACCUUAACUCGUAACGUAAACAAACUCAAAUAAAGUGUGAAAAGAAUGGAAAUAUUAUAAUAUUUAAAGCAGUGAAACCUGGGGCAAUAUUUCAUGCAAAAAUGAGGGACGGUGACUUUGGACUUUGUGUUUUGUUGUCGGAUUUUGCUCUUCGUAGCAAUAGCCAUUCAGCGUAUUUGCAUUCUGUGAGCACUCCUUUAUUUGCAUAUUUCCACUGGUUCUGUCAACAUUCUUGGCAAAUAUGCAAAUAUUAUGAAUACACAGGAUAUGAUGCAUGUCGAAAUCUGAGGAGAAGAAACAGAGGCUUGUUAGCCAUUGGCUAUUGGGUAAUCGAUGGAUUAUUUUUUAUUUAUUUAUAAUAAAAAACACUGAAAGCAUUCCUGGUUUGAACACGCUCAAUAUUUGGAGGUGUAGCCAAACAGCUAAAAUCUCAGACUUAUCUCAGGCUGUCACUGAAUAGUGCACAUUGUAUUUAAAGCUACUCCAUUUACUUUUUUUGCAAACAACAGAAAGUUCAGUAUUUCUUACUAGACCACAUCCUAUAUCCUUGAGGUCUAACAAAAGUGUCAAACACAUUUCCGCCCUCGUGAAACAUGGCAAUUUUCGCAAUACUUUAAAUAAUUCUCCCCGGCAUAUUACUGCCACCUGUUGAUCAGUGGAAUAGUGUGACACCAUUUAAAUUCAGGGAUCUGUUAUGGAGUAUUUGAACGAGUAAAAUCCCAGUUGGUUAAAUGUAAUCAUUUGUUAGUUUUGUCUAGAAAUUAAGAGAAAGAUAAAUAACAGUAAAACGAGCAGUUGUUGUAUUUAGUCAUUUUCCACCAUUUAAUGAUGAAUAUGACUAAGGAACUGGCUGGUGAAGGCAAACUAGAUCAGAUACGAUCACUUGUGCCUGCAUUUGUUCCUGUCUGUCAGGAGUGAAAUCCAACGUGACUAAGAGCAUGAUUGUCUGCAAAAUUUCACAAUGAGCUAGUGUGAGUAAGAGAGAGUUUUAUGUGCACGUACUAAGUAUCACGUCUUGAUGUGUUUGUGUGUGUGCACAUCUCUUUCUCCUGGGAAACAGAGUCUGCAGUUAUCCAAGCGCCUUUAAUCUGCCAGCAUGGAACAAACCUGCUUAAGUAAUUUCAGCCGAGGUAUCCACAGUGAGGGUGUUUUUAUAGCUUUUUUUUCUCUACAGAAUUCAAUAUGGGAGCCAAACAUAGGAAGACCUGCAUGGUUUCUGCCAACAACAAAACCUGUUCAAAGAGAAAAACUAAAGCUUCCUCUCCCGCAUCCCCGCACCUCACCAAGGACAACUUUGAUGUCAUCCAAAACAAUGUUUAUCUUCCCUCUGUGUACCACAGCUUUGUUUAUGAGUUAUCCCUAUAUGCUGCACUGAUAGGUUUCUGUUUAUUGUUCUUGGGUGUGUGUCACAGGGGAGGGAGGAGACAGCUGUCAGCAGUAAAUAAUAGUCUAUACAUUUGUGUUUUUUCUCUUAAUUGGAGCAAUGUUUGGGAAUUGUGGCCGGUUCACAUUUUAAAAUAAUGGAAAAUAAAUGUUUUAAUAGCAAGUUGUUUGAAAUUUCUGUAAAAUGAACUCAUAUACUUUCUUGCUGAAAGUAAGAUGAGAAGCUUGCUACCACUAUCGUCUCUGUGAAAAGUGGGCCUAGAAAGUGAUUAGCUUAGCUUAGCUAGCAUACAAACUGGGGGCCAGGGGAAACAGAUAACCCAGCCACAGUUUGAUAAAAUAGCACAUAACCGUCUUUAAAACCACAACUGGUUGUUUUUACAUUUGUUUGUAUACGGAUUAAAUAAAUGAGACAUGGAAAGUUCAUUUGUUACUUUAUACUAGGCUAAGCUAAGCUAAGCUUCAUAUUUAAUAGACAGACACGUGAGUGAUAUCAAUCUUCUCAUCUUACUCUCCUCAACAAAGUGAAUAAACAUAUUUCCCUAAAUGUCAAACUUUAACUCUUUAAGUCUGAGUUGCAGUUCUUUAUUCAUAUAUUUUUUUGGCUUUUAUUAUUUUAUUUCUUUUAUCUUUUUCUUUGUCCAAUGAUUAUUUCCCUUAAUUGUUACAAGACACAAUUUAAUAUAACAAAAUAAAAAGUAAAAAAAAAGGGACAUCUUCAAAUUGCUAAAACUUUAUUGAUCCCACACUGGGGAAAUUCCUUUGAUUCCACUUUUAUUAAAUUGACUGAAGCUUAUCAAAUCCUCAUAUUUAAGAAGUGAAAUGUUUCAUAUUGUUAAUGUCUUUAAUAUUUUGUUUUCUAUUCAUCAGCUUUCAUUUAUCCAACUAUUUCCAGCACAAAUUCAAGACACACAUGUCCCAAACAGCAUUUCAGCCAUCUGAUGCAUAUCAAUGUGUUUCUGGUUUAUGCUCCAGUACCAGCAGAUGCUCACAGUCUGCAUGAGUGUAUACAUUGUGGACAAGCUGGCAACUGUGCACAUAUGUGCGUUGUGCAUGUGGACAAUGCCACCAGUUGCUGUGGGUGGAAGCUCCCUGGUCGUCUGCCAGGGUGUGGGGAGGGACUGACCACGAUAUAAUGGAGGGUGUGAGCUGACGGCGGGGGAGGGAGGCACAGGAGGAGGAGACGGAGGGGAAGGAGGAGGUGGUGAGACAAGGGGGGUGGUAAGCAGAGAUAAAGCCAGACAGAUGGGGCAGACAAUGAGGCAUAGACACCCACCCUGCAUGUCAACAACACCCCCCAGCUUCCUUCAAACUUUAGCUAUUCCAUUAUCUCUCCCCGUGUGCCAGACUUUCUUUACAUUCUUGCUUCCCCGCCACAUUUUUUUUGUCUUGUUUUUCUCCAUUUCCUAGCUUAAGGUUGAUUAAAGUAGCACAAAAUAUUGCAUUGAGUUCUCUUUUGCCGCAACAACUUUUUGUUCACAUUCUCCGUUCAAAUAAACUUUCUUCCUCCUUC